Molecule: ribosomal RNA, 248 nt
Filed under: uncultured bacterium
Lineage: Bacteria
Description: partial 16S ribosomal RNA
Rfam family: Bacterial small subunit ribosomal RNA
Source: RNAcentral
UACGUAGGGUGCGAGCGUUAAUCGGAAUUACUGGGCGUAAAGCGUGCGCAGGCGGUGAUGUAAGACAGAUGUGAAAAUCCCCGGGCGUCAACCUGGGAACGUGCAUCCAAAACUACUGAGCUAGAGUACGGUAGAGGUAGUGGAAUUUCCUGUGUAACGGUGAAAUGCGUAGAUAUAGGAAGGAACACCAGUGGCGAAGGCGGCUGCCUGGACCGAUACUGACGCUGAGACGCGAAAGCGUGGGGAGC